GUUCUCUUCGUCUAACGGUUAGGACAGCACUUUUUCAAGGUGUUGAUAUGAGUUCAAAUCUCAUAGAGAAUA
RNAcentral lists this transfer RNA (72 nucleotides) under Cryptomonas curvata. RNAcentral's name for it is "tRNA-Glu". It matches the Rfam family "tRNA". From Rfam's summary of the family: Transfer RNA (tRNA) molecules are approximately 80 nucleotides in length. Their secondary structure includes four short double-helical elements and three loops (D, anti-codon, and T loops). Further hydrogen bonds mediate the characteristic L-shaped molecular structure. tRNAs have two regions of fundamental functional importance: the anti-codon, which is responsible for specific mRNA codon recognition, and the 3' end, to which the tRNAs corresponding amino acid is attached (by aminoacyl-tRNA synthetases). tRNAs cope with the degeneracy of the genetic code in two manners: having more than one tRNA (with a specific anti-codon) for a particular amino acid; and 'wobble' base-pairing, i.e. permitting non-standard base-pairing at the 3rd anti-codon position. The record is from RNAcentral. Lineage: Eukaryota; Cryptophyceae; Cryptomonadales; Cryptomonadaceae.